Zea mays is the source of this 1827-nucleotide long non-coding RNA. RefSeq lists it as uncharacterized. Lineage: Eukaryota; Viridiplantae; Streptophyta; Magnoliopsida; Poales; Poaceae. The record is from RefSeq and is a predicted model, not a curated record. The transcript has 4 exons.
CGAUUACUGCCUUUUGAGUUCUAAUAUUCACUUGUAUUGUUGCUCUCUAGCGCACGGUGCAGGCGCUAGAAACCCUAAACUUCGGCAUCGAAGAUGGCGGCGGCGUGCAUGCGUUGUCCUAAAGGGAGCAGGACAUCCAGAUGAUCCUCGCCACCGACGUGCACCUCGGUACCAAGAAUUGGGACUUCUAGAUGGUAGUAGCCCAAAUCUUUCGAGACUAACCAAAUGCUUACCUCAAAUGUUUAUUAUAUUUGAUAUCUAGUUCUAGAUCUGUUCGUAUUGACCUCUUUCUGGAUCUUGCUAUGUGCAUGCAUAUAUUGUGAUGCAAUGUAUAGUCAACUGAGAGAAAUAUUGGCGCGUAGUAUCAGUCGAGGAAUAUUGAAUCAUAGGUAUGUAACUCUAGUUGUUAAUUUUGCCGUUGACAGCAGCGUCGGGUAGUCUUGAGGAUUUGUCUAGCACAAAGAGUUGGAAGGUUUCCGGAGUGAGUGUGAUACACAUGUGUACCGUGUACGUUCUAGCUCAGUAGUUGUGACAUCACAAAUGGUAUUCGUCUCAAUGUAAUACCAUAAAUAUGCGUUGUGGAAUUGGUUUACACUAGAAUUUGUCAAAAAUAAAGGAUAAAUCAACUUAUACCAAGCAUCUAAUGUUUGUGUUGAUGUGUUUGUUCACUGGAAUCAGUGGGAAGAAUGGCCCGUAGCUCAGUGCUAAUUCUCAUUAAUUAUGCUUAUAAUUUCACUUUGUCACUUGACCAUGGUGCACUGCAAAAUAACAAUAGCACUUUUGUAUAUAUUAUUGUUAUUAUCCUUAAGGUAUCUACAUUAUUAACCUUGGCAAGACCUGUGAGAAGCUUCAGUUGGCAUUGAGAAUCCAUAGGGCAUCAUUGUGCAGUCUGCUAGGCCCUAUGUCCAGAGGGCUGUCCUCAAGUUUGCGUAGUACACUGGUGCUCAUGCCAUUGCCGGCAGGCACACUCCUGGUACAUUCACCAACCAGUUGCAAACCUCCUUCAGCGAGCCACGCCUUCUUAUCCUCACUGAUCCAGGACUGGUCACCAGUCCAUUAAAGGCUUGUUUGAUAUCAAGUAUCAUCAAAAUCCAUAUGGACUACGGAGGCUGCGCUCGGAAACAUUUUCACCACUGUGUUGGUUUCAAUUCAUAGUCGAUCUUUUUUCUUCUACAGGACAUAGAGGAAGCAAAGGAGAAGGAGGAAGAAGAGGCUCUGGUUGCUCCGGGCUAUGGCGCAGUUGCAGAAUAUACUGCCCCUAGAGCUGACAACUGGGGUGACGAGUGGGGAGCUGGUGAGGGUGAGGCCGUGAGGCUGCAGCUCCACCUGCUGGCGUCCCGGCUGCUGGUGCAGACUGGGUUGCUGCUCCAGCUCCUCCCGCUGAUGCGUGAUGAUGUGUGGGAUGCAGCUGCGCCUCCUCCAGCAGCAGCAGCCGCCUAGAGAUGGGAACAUGUCGCUGCCCUUGUCACGGCAUCUACUCUAGAUCUCAUCUGGAUACUCUAAUAUUCACCCCAAUUCACAUGUAUUGAGAUGGAUUCAGGUCACAAUCCAUCUCAACACAUAUAGAUUAGAAUAAAUAAUAGAGUAAGCAAACAAGCCCUAAACCCUAACUGGGAGUGAAGAGUAAGUGAGCAUGAUUGUUGGCUUACACUAGUCUUCAACAGAACUUGUUAGUAGACACUGCUGGAGUAUAUUUGAAUUUUUAGUGUGGUAGAUGAGUAUCAGUUUUGUGUUAUUGGCUCUGCUUUGCUUAGAGAGCGAGUGGAUCGCGCUCCAUUUUUGUUAUCUCAAAUGGAUAGAUCUUUGUUUUAACCGUAUUUUGUGAAA